GUCAAGGAAAAAAGUAAAUUUCAUUAAUAUGGAAAAGGAUCACAAAAUUUUUUUAGCUCCGGACUUCUUAACAGUGUCCCGAGCUUCCAUGAGGUCACCCUCUACAUUCAGAUUGUCUCCCGAAAGAGGAAUUAAAUUAGCUACCUCAUCACAAACCAUCGUUGCCUGCCCGCCAUCCUUAAUUUCCUAACCAGCCUUCUUCCGAGAUUUAUUUCUGAUUUUCUCAAUGUCCAUUUCUUCUAAAAAGCUCAAAUCGACAUCUGAAAACUCAUUCUUGACAGUCUCCUUCACUGCCUCCUCACAGCUGGUAAGAAGAAAAGACAUCUUGGAAUAGAAGCUUUCUUUCUCAGCCUCCAAGCUCUUGAUAGUAGAGGACUGAUCAGCAAACUUCGAAGAUAGUGAGGUGCAUUCAAGCUCUAAAUCAGCAACCCUCUAGUUGGAUGUCCUCUUCUCUGCUAAGGUUUAGUUGAGCUAAGUAGUUGCAUUCUCAGCCUAAAGCUGAGCUGCUUGAAGGUCGC
RNAcentral lists this long non-coding RNA (518 nucleotides) under Ricinus communis (castor bean). RNAcentral describes it as "long non-coding RNA (RCOM_LNC000608)". The record is from RNAcentral. Lineage: Eukaryota; Viridiplantae; Streptophyta; Magnoliopsida; Malpighiales; Euphorbiaceae.